This 297-nucleotide signal recognition particle RNA is filed under the name Cebus imitator (Panamanian white-faced capuchin). RNAcentral's name for it is "Metazoan signal recognition particle RNA (ENSCCAG00000007416.1)". It matches the Rfam family "Metazoan signal recognition particle RNA". From Rfam's summary of the family: The signal recognition particle (SRP) is a universally conserved ribonucleoprotein. It is involved in the co-translational targeting of proteins to membranes. The eukaryotic SRP consists of a 300-nucleotide 7S RNA and six proteins: SRPs 72, 68, 54, 19, 14, and 9. Lineage: Eukaryota; Metazoa; Chordata; Mammalia; Primates; Cebidae. The record is from RNAcentral.
GCUGAGCACGUGGUGCGUGUCUGUGGUCCCAGCUACGCGGGAGGCUGAGGCUGGAGGAUCGCUUGAGCCCAGGAGUUCUGGGCUGUAGUGCGCUAUGCCAUCGGGUGUCCGCACUAAGUUCGGCAUCAAUAUGGUGACCUCCUGGGAGCGGGGGACCACCAGGUUGUCUAAGGAGGGGUGAACCGGCCCAGGUCGGAAACGGAGCAGGUCAAAACUCCCGUGCUGAUCAGUAGUGGGAUCGCUCCUAUGAACAGCCACUGCACUCCAGCCUGGGCAACAGAGCGAGACCUCGCCUCU